ACCUUUUGGCCCACUGAGGUUCUGCCAGGCCUCGCAAAGCAAGAAGCCAUGAGCCGGCUCACCCAAAGGAGCCUAGAAACCCUUGGACAGGCAGGGCUUCCACGGAGCCAGAACCCUCCUGUCUUGGUGGGUCCCGGACGCUGCGUUUCAGCGAGGGCCCAGGAGACCAGGGCUUUCCAAACUAACAUGUGUGUGAGUCACCUGGGGAGCUUGUUAAAUAGUGAACUCUGAUCUUAUAAGUCUGAUCCACCAGGGCCCGAGAUUCUGAUUCCCAAACAGCUUCCAAGUGAUGCUGAUGCUGCUGGUCUGGCCAGCCUUUGAGUGGCACAAGGCACAAGGAAUUUAUCUGGAAUUCUGACUUUUCCCUGAAAAGUCACACCCUGGAGCGGGCACACCUAACUUCUCUGGCUCCUGUCUCCAGGACCCGGGUCUUGAAUCAUUCGGAAAAGCCGGCUAAAUCGUCAAAGACAGAUCUCUCUGUGCUGCCUCUACCGAUAUGUCACUGGGAGCAUCCAAGAAUCACUCCUUACUUCUAGAAGUUCAUCCACAGAGCAACUGUCUGUAUUUUGGCCCUGCUCACUCUCCUGCCCUCCUGACUGCAGGGUCCAGCUGCCCCCAAUUGCCUGGCCCACAGCCCCUCUAACUUAGGAGGUCUAAAGGCAAACUCCCCAUCCCCCCAACCUGCUCCUCCUCCCAUGUUCCCACCACAGGGAGGACACUUCGGUCCACGCCCUCCCCCGGGCCUCUGGACGUUACCUCCUAAACAGCUCUCACAGCUGCCCUCCUGUCCUCCUUGCCCCGUCACUGCCCCGAUUCCAGCUGUAUCAUCUUCUCUUCAGUUCUGCAGUGGUUUCCUGACCAGACCCCCAGCCUCACCGUCCGCCAUUUUGUGUCUGUUUCCAUCUUCUCCACCAGCCAAUGAACUCCUAGAGCGCCGUGGCUCUUAACCAUGCUCAGGGGCUGCCCCACAGUAGGUGUUUAAUCAAUGCUCUCUGUGUGAAGGAAUGAGUGAGGAGCCAUGAUGUCCAGACCUGGUUCUGUUGACUCACUCACUGAUCUUGCUGAGCUCUUUCUCCUCCCUGGCCUCACUCUGCUUAUCCGAAAUGGUACCCAAAGAUCCUCAAACAUCAGGUUUGAGAUCCUAUGAGGGGAGUAAGAUACUCCCCCGCGUACCACUCCCUCAGGGGCAGCUGGAACAGCUGAGUGUCCCAUGAGAGAACUGCCCUGCGGCUCUCCUAAGCACAGGGUGACAG
RNAcentral lists this long non-coding RNA (1253 nucleotides) under Equus caballus (horse). Its description in RNAcentral is "lncRNA (ENSECAG00000056374.1)". The record is from RNAcentral. Lineage: Eukaryota; Metazoa; Chordata; Mammalia; Perissodactyla; Equidae.